GAUGAACGCUGGCGGCGUGCCUAAUACAUGCAAGUCGAGCGGACGGGCCCUGCUUUUGCUGUUCUGAUGUUAGCGACGGACGGGUGAGUCACACGUGGAUAGCCCUCCUCUACGACUUGAACCACUUCGGGUAACCGUAACUACUGCCGGAUACUAUUUUGAGCCGCAUGGUUCAAAAGUGUAUGACGGUCUUGCUGAGACCUAUAGCUAGAUGCGCGGUGGAUUAGCUAGUUGGUAAGGAAACGGCUUACGAUGGCGACGAUGCAUGGCCGACCGGAGAGGGGGAUGGCGCACUGUGGAACUGAGACGCGGUCCAGACUCCUACGGGAGGCACCAGUAGGGAAGCUUCGGCGAUGGGGGAAAGACUGACGAAGCAGCGCCGCGUGGAUGAUGAAGGUCCGCGGAGCGUAAAACGCUGUUAGGAGGGAAGAACAUAUGUGUAAGGAACGGUGCAUUUUGUGACGGUACCUAGUCAGAAAGCCACGGCUAACUACGUG
RNAcentral lists this ribosomal RNA (497 nucleotides) under uncultured bacterium. RNAcentral describes it as "partial 16S ribosomal RNA". It matches the Rfam family "Bacterial small subunit ribosomal RNA", at positions 28 to 507 of the family's 1533-position model. The record is from RNAcentral.